This 238-nucleotide ribosomal RNA is filed under the name uncultured bacterium. RNAcentral's name for it is "partial 16S ribosomal RNA". It matches the Rfam family "Bacterial small subunit ribosomal RNA", at positions 524 to 756 of the family's 1533-position model. The record is from RNAcentral.
UACGUAGGGUGCAAGCGUUAAUCGGAAUUACUGGGCGUAAAGCGUGCGCAGGCGGUUUUGUAAGCCAGAUGUGAAAUCCCCCGGGCUUAACCUGGGAAUGGCAUUUGGGACUGCAAGGCUUGAGUGUGGCAGAGGGGGACUGGAAUUCCUGGUGUAGCAGUGAAAUGCGUAGAGAUCAGGAGGAAUACCGAUGGCGGAAGGCAGGUCCCUGGGGCUGACACGUGACGCUCAUGCAUCG